UGAGGAAUAUUGGGCAAUGCCCGCAAGGGUGACCCAGCAACGCCGCGUGGAGGAUGAAUGUCGUAAGAUUGUAAACUCCUGUUAGAGGGGAAGAAUAGUACCGGUUGGACCGGUAUAUGACUGUACCCUCAGAGAAAGCCCCGGCUAACUACGUGCCAGCAGCCGCGGUAAUACGUAGGGGGCAAGCGUUGUCCGGAUUUACUGGGUGUAAAGGGCGCGCAGGCGGGAUAAAAAGUCAGUGGUGAAAUCCUACAGCUUAACUGUAGAACUGCCUUUGAUACUUUUAUUCUUGAGUUCGGGAGAGAGAGACGGAAUGCCAGGUGUAGUGGUGAAAUACGUAGAUAUCUGGAAGAACACCAGUUGCGAAGGCGGUCUCUUGGUCCGACACUGACGCUGAGGCGCGAAAGCGUGGGGAGCAAACA
This 422-nucleotide ribosomal RNA is filed under the name uncultured bacterium. RNAcentral's name for it is "bacterial SSU rRNA". It matches the Rfam family "Bacterial small subunit ribosomal RNA", at positions 355 to 774 of the family's 1533-position model. The record is from RNAcentral.